Molecule: non-coding RNA, 73 nt
Organism: Ictidomys tridecemlineatus (thirteen-lined ground squirrel)
Lineage: Eukaryota; Metazoa; Chordata; Mammalia; Rodentia; Sciuridae
Source: Rfam
UGGGAUGUAGCUCAAGUGGUAGUGCACUCGCCUGGCAUGCGAGAGGCACUGGGUUCGUUCCUCAGCACCACAU